Homo sapiens (human) is the source of this 1806-nucleotide long non-coding RNA. RefSeq lists it as uncharacterized. The record is from RefSeq and is a predicted model, not a curated record. Lineage: Eukaryota; Metazoa; Chordata; Mammalia; Primates; Hominidae. The transcript is spliced from 2 exons.
GAGGGUGGAACCCUCAUGAAUGGGAUUAGUGCCCUUAUAAAACACUCCAGGCCAGGCACUGUGGCUCACGCCUGUAAUCCCAGCACUUUGGGAGGCUGAGGUGGGUGGACCAUCUGAGGUCAGGAGUUCCAGACCAGGCUGGUCAAUGUGUCGAAACCCUGUCUCUACUGAACAUAGAAAAAUUAGCCAGGCAUGGUGGCACAGGCCUGUAAUCCCAGCUACUCGAGAGGCUGAGGCAUGAGAAUGGCUUGAGCUGGGAGGCAGAUGUUGCAGUGAGCUGAGAUUGCACCACUGCACUCCAGCCUGGGUGACAGAGCAAGACUCUGUCUCAAAACAAAACGAAACAAAACAAAAAACCAGAGAGAAGCUCCAGAGAGGAGAGAUCCCUCUCCUUUUUUGCCCCAUGCGAUAACAGAGAAAAGACAGCUAUUUAUGAGGAAGUGGGCCCUCACAAACACUGAAUCUGCUGGUGCCUUGAUCAUGCACCUUCUAGCUUCCACAACUGUGAGAAAAUACAUUGCUGAUGUUUAUAUGCCACCUCGCUUAUGGGAGAUUAUGGCAGCCAGAACUGAAUAGGACAAAUACUUGUAGAGCACCUAUUACAUGUGAGCACUACGGGCACAAGAAUAAAGAAAAUAGACCCUAACUUUAAAAAAAAAAAAAAAAAAACGAACAGUCAGCCAGGAGGCUGGCCACUAAAAUGCAAGAGUGCAUGCAGCAGGCACUGUGGGAAGACAGAAGAGUAGAUCCCAGGUGUCUGGGCAGGGCUGUGUGGAGGACAGAAGGUUCUCAGAGCUGUCCUGCAGGAUGCCACGCAGCCUGGGAAGAAGCCAGGAGCCUGGGGGAAUUGUUCUCGCAUCCCAAAUCAGUGGUUCCAGCAACUGUCAACACAAUAAAACUACAGAACUUGAAAGGGGAAAAUGGGAAAAUAAGCACAGAAGGACAGAUGUGCACCAGGGUGAGGAGAUCCCAACCUCUUUAUUAGAGAAAAGACCGGCAACCCUGCGGCUGGGGCUGGUCACAGAAAGGGGGCCUUGUGAGAGGGGCUGCGAUGAGGCAGAUGGAUGCCAAACCUCAAAAGGCUUUGCUGCUGUGCUAGCAAAUUUAGUUUCCUCCCACAGCUGGUCAGGAGCCCAGUGAACUCUAAGCAGGAAACUGCACUGAUCAGAAGAUAAUUUCAUAGUAACUACUCCGACAGCACAGAGAAGCGAUGGAGAAGGAAGGGAAGAAGGGAAAGCCACUGAAUGGCCCACUUGAGACCAGAAAAGGUCAAAAGUUUGAGGCAGAUAUAACGCAUUUGGGGAGGACUGGGCAUUCUCCUAACCAGACAGCAAUCCUGCCGAAAAUUAAAAUGAGUAGAGCGUCUGUUCACCAACCAAAUAUUAGAAAAAGGAAACAACAUAAUCUUGAAAUGAACUCUGCAGCCUUUUAAAAUUUAAAAUCCAUGACCCUACAGAAAGUUAUGCAAAUAUUUUUUGUUUCUAAUUUUAGCAGAGAACAACACUGUCAGUCUGGAGUAAGUGACAAAAAUAAGAAAGGGAAGUCUAUCCUGAUGCCCAGCCAGGGAAAAAUGGGAAGAAAGAGAAGAGAAGAGAAGAGACAGAGAGGUUAUCGCAGGAGUGGGACUGGUGACUAAAGAGGAAAUGAGACCUAAGCUAGCCUCCUUGCCAUGUGAUACUCUGCACCACCUUGAGACUCUGCAGAGAGUACCCACCAACAAGGAAGCUCUCACCAGAUGCGCCCCCUUGACCUUGGACUUCUCCACCUCCAGAACAGUACAAAAUAAAUUUCAUUUCUCAUAAAUUA